AACGAACGCUGGCGGCAUGCCUAACACAUGCAAGUCGAACGAGACCUUCGGGUCUAGUGGCGCACGGGUGCGUAACGCGUGGGAACCUGCCCUUAGGUUCGGAAUAACUCCCCGAAAGGGGUGCUAAUACCGGAUAAUGUCUUCGGACCAAAGAUUUAUCGCCUUUGGCUGGGCCCGCGUUGGAUUAGCUAGUUGGUAGGGUAAAAGCCUACCAAGGCGACGAUCCAUAGCUGGUCUGAGAGGAUGAUCAGCCACACUGGGACUGAGACACGGCCCAGACUCCUACGGGAGGCAGCAGUGGGGAAUAUUGGACAAUGAGCGAAAGCCUGAUCCAGCAAUGCCGCGUGAGUGAUGAAGGCCUUAGGGUUGUAAAGCUCUUUUACCCGGGAUGAUAAUGACAGUACCGGGAGAAUAAGCUCCGGCUAACUACGUG
Molecule: ribosomal RNA, 433 nt
Filed under: uncultured bacterium
Lineage: Bacteria
Description: partial 16S ribosomal RNA
Rfam family: Bacterial small subunit ribosomal RNA
Source: RNAcentral